Molecule: transfer RNA, 64 nt
Filed under: Cricetulus griseus (Chinese hamster)
Lineage: Eukaryota; Metazoa; Chordata; Mammalia; Rodentia; Cricetidae
Rfam family: tRNA
About the family: Transfer RNA (tRNA) molecules are approximately 80 nucleotides in length. Their secondary structure includes four short double-helical elements and three loops (D, anti-codon, and T loops). Further hydrogen bonds mediate the characteristic L-shaped molecular structure. tRNAs have two regions of fundamental functional importance: the anti-codon, which is responsible for specific mRNA codon recognition, and the 3' end, to which the tRNAs corresponding amino acid is attached (by aminoacyl-tRNA synthetases). tRNAs cope with the degeneracy of the genetic code in two manners: having more than one tRNA (with a specific anti-codon) for a particular amino acid; and 'wobble' base-pairing, i.e. permitting non-standard base-pairing at the 3rd anti-codon position.
Source: Rfam by way of RNAcentral
AUGUGGCUCAGUUGGUAGAAUGCUUGCCUAGCAUGCAUGAAGUCCUGGGUUCAAUCCCCAGCAU